AUCGCUUCUCGGCCUUCUGGCUAAGAUCAAGUGUAGUAUCUGUUCUUAUCAGUUUAAGUUUAUUUAUUUUUGAGAGAGAGACAUGAUGGGGGAGGGGCAGAGAGAGAGGGAGGGAGGUACUCCCA
RNAcentral lists this small nuclear RNA (125 nucleotides) under Suricata suricatta (meerkat). Its description in RNAcentral is "U2 spliceosomal RNA (ENSSSUG00005015158.1)". It matches the Rfam family "U2 spliceosomal RNA". From Rfam's summary of the family: U2 is a small nuclear RNA (snRNA) component of the spliceosome (involved in pre-mRNA splicing). Complementary binding between U2 snRNA (in an area lying towards the 5' end but 3' to hairpin I) and the branchpoint sequence (BPS) of the intron results the bulging out of an unpaired adenosine, on the BPS, which initiates a nucleophilic attack at the intronic 5' splice site, thus starting the first of two transesterification reactions that mediate splicing. Lineage: Eukaryota; Metazoa; Chordata; Mammalia; Carnivora; Herpestidae. The record is from Rfam by way of RNAcentral.